Molecule: non-coding RNA, 99 nt
Organism: Acanthosepion pharaonis
Lineage: Eukaryota; Metazoa; Mollusca; Cephalopoda; Sepiida; Sepiidae
Source: the annotation of a GenBank genome assembly
CAUUGAAACACCAAUUCUCAUAUGAUCACCAAAGUUAAGCAACAUUGAGCCUGGUCAGUACCUAGAUGGGCAACUACUUGGGAAUACCAGGUGCUGUGA